CAGUAGCGUAUAUAAAAGUUGUUGCAGUUGAAAAGCUCGUAGUUGGAUUUCUGGUUCGGAGCGGCUGGCCCGCCGUAUUUGCGGUGCGUGCCGGUGCGCCCCGGCCAUCCUUCCAAGGACCGCUUCUGCCCUUCAUUGGGUGUGGAGUUGGGACUUGGAUCGAUUACUUUGAAAAAAUUAGAGUGUUCAAAGCAGACGUUUGUCUUGAAUACAUUAGCAUGGAAUAAUGACAUAGGACUUUGGUUCUAUUUUGUUGGUUUCUAGGACUGAAGUAAUGAUUGAUAGGGAUAGUUGGGGGUGCUAGUAUUGUGCGGCCAGAGGUGAAAUUCUUGGAUUCGCGCAAGACUAACUAAUGCGAAAGCAUUCACCAAGGAUGUCUUCUUUAA
RNAcentral lists this ribosomal RNA (386 nucleotides) under uncultured eukaryote. Its description in RNAcentral is "partial 18S ribosomal RNA". It matches the Rfam family "Eukaryotic small subunit ribosomal RNA", at positions 592 to 976 of the family's 1831-position model. The record is from RNAcentral.